GUCAGGAUGAUUGAUUGGUCUAAGGUGCCAGACUCAAGUUUUGGUCCUCGUGAGAGGGCGUGGGUUCAAAUUCCACUUUUGACA
Ipomoea nil (Japanese morning glory) is the source of this 84-nucleotide transfer RNA. It matches the Rfam family "tRNA". From Rfam's summary of the family: Transfer RNA (tRNA) molecules are approximately 80 nucleotides in length. Their secondary structure includes four short double-helical elements and three loops (D, anti-codon, and T loops). The record is from Rfam. NCBI's taxonomy places the organism in Eukaryota, Viridiplantae, Streptophyta, Magnoliopsida, Solanales, Convolvulaceae.